Molecule: long non-coding RNA, 697 nt
Organism: Empidonax traillii (willow flycatcher)
Lineage: Eukaryota; Metazoa; Chordata; Aves; Passeriformes; Tyrannidae
Exons: 4
Source: RefSeq, a predicted model, not a curated record
UGCUGGCUUUAUAUCUCUGUGCUGUGCUCAGAGAUAUUGCAUGGGAGGAAUAACAACUGCUCUGAUGGCAUUUGCUGGGAUCCCCUUGACGGCUGAGCAGGCAAGCUGGUGCUCCCAGUGGGCUGGCCUGUGUUUCUCCUCGUAAAUCCAUGGGAAGAUACAGGGCUGAAAACAAAGACAUCCAAACCUUGAGCCAUUUAGAAGAGGAAGAAGCCAAAAUCUGUGCCAGAGGUUUGACUGCUGGGUUUACUCAUGGCUUCAGGUCAGGGUGGGCACUGCUAGAUAAUGAAGGCAUGGUCGGUUUCGUGGGGCUUGGUCUGUUGGGAGGAUUUUCUGAGAAGCAUCUGAGUAGCUGCUAGCUGGAUGGCUUCACUUCUGACCCCCCCAACCUGAGUGAGGUUUGCUGCUCGCAGUAUUCCUGGAAUGACACAGGGGCUCUGGCUGGAGUCAGGCCAGGGUAUUAAAUGAGACUGCUUUUGUGGCACUUCUGCAUUUGAUACGUAGAGGACAGAUUUCCCGCUCAUGUCUCUGCAGUGUUUGACUUUGUUGACCAUGAAACCCUUCAUAUCCCUGCUGAGGAGGGGGGUUGCAGUCUGGUGGGAGUGGUUCAGUGGGACACACCCAGUUAGUAGAGAUGUGAACGUACAUCACUACUGCUAAUGCCCAGAUGUGAUGCUGUCAAACAAGGACCUAUCCU